This 432-nucleotide ribosomal RNA is filed under the name uncultured bacterium. RNAcentral's name for it is "bacterial SSU rRNA". It matches the Rfam family "Bacterial small subunit ribosomal RNA", at positions 29 to 506 of the family's 1533-position model. The record is from RNAcentral.
AAUGAACGCUGGCGGCAGGCCUAACACAUGCAAGUCGAACGAGGUAGCAAUACCUAGUGGCGGACGGGUGAGUAACACGUGGGAACGUACCCUUUGCUACGGAAUAGCCCUGGGAAACUGGGAGUAAUACCGUAUGAGCCCGAGAGGGGAAAGAUUUAUCGGCAAAGGAUCGGCCCGCGUUGGAUUAGGUAGUUGGUGGGGUAAUGGCCUACCAAGCCGACGAUCCAUAGCUGGUUUGAGAGGAUGAUCAGCCACACUGGGACUGAGACACGGCCCAGACUCCUACGGGAGGCAGCAGUGGGGAAUCUUAGACAAUGGGGGAAACCCUGAUCUAGCCAUGCCGCGUGAUCGAUGAAGGCCUUAGGGUUGUAAAGAUCUUUCAGGUGGGAAGAUAAUGACUGUACCACCAGAAGAAGCCCCGGCUAACUCCGU